Molecule: long non-coding RNA, 279 nt
Filed under: Brassica napus (rape)
Lineage: Eukaryota; Viridiplantae; Streptophyta; Magnoliopsida; Brassicales; Brassicaceae
Description: long non-coding RNA (BNAP_LNC006732)
Source: RNAcentral
CACCCCUCGCAAUUGAAGUCCAAGAGCAAUGGGCUGUCGAGAUCAAUCCGUUCACCCUCUUGUUCACGGGGCCAUGGGUAGGAGGCGGAAGUUUGUUGCUGCGCUUGCGGGGGUGGUGUGCUGCAUGUGGCUCUCGUUCACUUGGCGGAUUGCUUAGUUCUUGCCAUCUACAAGGCAAACAAGAUCAAGCAUUAGUUCCAUUAUGUCGCACAGAAGAAAUGGAAUCAAAUUAUUCCCAUCUCUCCGUGUGCGAACUGCAAACCGCUUUUCACUUCAACA